This 473-nucleotide ribosomal RNA is filed under the name Pseudoalteromonas sp. ADRIF4. RNAcentral's name for it is "bacterial SSU rRNA". It matches the Rfam family "Bacterial small subunit ribosomal RNA", at positions 35 to 499 of the family's 1533-position model. The record is from RNAcentral. Lineage: Bacteria; Pseudomonadati; Pseudomonadota; Gammaproteobacteria; Alteromonadales; Pseudoalteromonadaceae.
GCUGGCGGCAGGCCUAACACAUGCAAGUCGAGCGGUAACAGAGAUAGCUUGCUAUCUGCUGACGAGCGGCGGACGGGUGAGUAAUGCUUGGGAAUAUGCCUUUUGGUGGGGGACAACAGUUGGAAACGACUGCUAAUACCGCAUAACGUCUACGGACCAAAGUGGGGGACCUUCGGGCCUCACGCCAAGAGAUUAGCCCAAGUGGGAUUAGCUAGUUGGUGAGGUAAUGGCUCACCAAGGCGACGAUCCCUAGCUGGUUUGAGAGGAUGAUCAGCCACACUGGAACUGAGACACGGUCCAGACUCCUACGGGAGGCAGCAGUGGGGAAUAUUGCACAAUGGGCGCAAGCCUGAUGCAGCCAUGCCGCGUGUGUGAAGAAGGCCUUCGGGUUGUAAAGCACUUUCAGUCAGGAGGAAAGGUUGGUAGUUAAUAGCUACCAGCUGUGACGUUACUGACAGAAGAAGCACCGGCUA